CAGCAGCCGCGGUAAUACCGGCGGCCCGAGUGGCGGUCACUAUUAUUGGGCUUAAAGCGUCCGUAGCCGGGUUGGGAAGUCCUCCGGGAAAUCUGGCCGCUUAACGGUCAGAAUGCCGGAGGAUACUCCCAGCCUAGGGAGCGGGAGAGGCCGAGGGUAUUCCCGGAGUAGGGGUGAAAUCCUAUAAUCCCGGGAGGACCACCUGUGGCGAAGGCGCUCGGCUGGAACGCGUCCGACGGUGAGGGACGAAGGCCAGGGGAGCAAACCGGAUUAGAUACCCGGGUAGUCCUGGCUGUAAACGAUGCGGACUUUGUGUCGGACAAGCUAUGAGCUUGUCCGGUGCCGGAGGGAAACCGUUAAGUCCGCCGCCUGGGGAGUACGGCCGCAAGGCUGAAGCUUAAAGGAAUUGGCGGG
Molecule: ribosomal RNA, 414 nt
Filed under: uncultured microorganism
Description: bacterial SSU rRNA
Rfam family: Archaeal small subunit ribosomal RNA
Source: RNAcentral